RNAcentral lists this transfer RNA (89 nucleotides) under Deferribacteraceae bacterium. Its description in RNAcentral is "tRNA-Ser". It matches the Rfam family "tRNA". From Rfam's summary of the family: Transfer RNA (tRNA) molecules are approximately 80 nucleotides in length. Their secondary structure includes four short double-helical elements and three loops (D, anti-codon, and T loops). Lineage: Bacteria; Pseudomonadati; Deferribacterota; Deferribacteres; Deferribacterales; Deferribacteraceae. RNAcentral also lists the same sequence under 1 other name. The record is from RNAcentral.
GGAGAGGUGGCCGAGUCAGGUUGAAGGCGUACGACUGGAACUCGUAUGUGCGUGAAAGCGUACCGAGGGUUCGAAUCCCUCCUUCUCCG